UGAAGCUUGUAUCAUGAUGUAAGUUGAGGAUCAAGAAGUUUCCAUUUUUGGCAGUUAAAAUUACAGGUCCAGUUUCUAUUUUUGGAAAUUUUCUGUUUGGCUUCAAAUUCUUCAAUGAUAUUGAUUGCCAUGAUAUAUGAGGCCUAUUGGGACAUGAAUAAGCCCUCUCAAACCAAAUCCAUCCAUUAAAACCAUAAAAUC
Molecule: long non-coding RNA, 201 nt
Filed under: Lathyrus oleraceus (garden pea)
Lineage: Eukaryota; Viridiplantae; Streptophyta; Magnoliopsida; Fabales; Fabaceae
Description: Pisum sativum (pea) long non-coding RNA (PSAT_LNC027962)
Source: RNAcentral